Molecule: ribosomal RNA, 254 nt
Filed under: uncultured bacterium
Lineage: Bacteria
Description: partial 16S ribosomal RNA
Rfam family: Bacterial small subunit ribosomal RNA
Source: RNAcentral
UACGUAGGGUGCGAGCGUUAAUCGGAAUUACUGGGCGUAAAGCGUGCGCAGGCGGUGAUGUAAGACAGGUGUGAAAUCCCCCGGGCUUAACCUGGGAACUGCAUUUGUGACUGCAUCGCUGGAGUGCGGCAGAGGGGGAUGGAAUUCCGCGUGUAGCAGUGAAAUGCGUAGAUAUGCGGAGGAACACCGAUGGCGAAGGCAAUCCCCUGGGCCUGCACUGACGCUCAUGCACGAAAGCGUGGGGAGCAAACAGG